CGGGAUGAUAUGGUCCGCCUGAUUCAUUCGACCAUAGCAAAGAGUAGUCUGUCUACUCUUGCUCGUACCUCUCUGCUCCAUCUAUCUCCUCUUCGCUCAACUUCUUUGACGAGGGAUAAUGCAACUGAAAGUGUUGCCAUCGAGGGUGGUAAUACUAACUUCUCGGUUAAUACGAGGCAAGGCAAAAUGGUGCCAAUUCUCAAGGAUUGUUCAAUUCCUUCCGACAGUUGUGGAUGCUUCUUGGACCUAAUGGUUGUGGUAAAUCUACCCCUUUAAAGCUGCAGAUCACUCCUCGUCGGGCGGUUGGACAGUAGCUGUGGUCAGAAGAGUUCUAUGGUGUUGAAGGGAAUAAAGUUGGGUGCUUUUGCUGCGAUUGGUUUUUUUUUAUAUAUGUAAGACUUCGUGCUUGGUUCUAUGAUGCAAUAAAAAUGGUAUUUUAUUUUAUUAAA
Molecule: long non-coding RNA, 449 nt
Organism: Gossypium raimondii (Peruvian cotton)
Lineage: Eukaryota; Viridiplantae; Streptophyta; Magnoliopsida; Malvales; Malvaceae
Exons: 3
Source: RefSeq, a predicted model, not a curated record